Molecule: long non-coding RNA, 3253 nt
Organism: Cavia porcellus (domestic guinea pig)
Lineage: Eukaryota; Metazoa; Chordata; Mammalia; Rodentia; Caviidae
Exons: 2
Source: RefSeq, a predicted model, not a curated record
CGAAGGUAUAAGUGUAAAUGCAAUCCUCAGCUCUCUGCUCCUCAGCUCCUCUGCUGGAGCUGUGCACUUCCAGGCUGGCGGGGCAGAGAGAGGCAAAAAUCCUGCCUGUUUCUUCUGUUUGCUUCUGCAAGGCUCCACCCCUACCCACGCCUUGACCACUCAGGCCGGGAGUAGGGCCUGGCGCCGCCCACCUUGAGCCCGUAGUCUCGCGCCGCCUCCCACACGAACUUCUUGCUGACGCCGCCGGCGCCGACCAGCAGCAGCUGCUUUCCUUCCAUGAGGUAACGCGCUGAGCGCCGGAGCAUGGUCUCCACCAGCGGCGCAGCCGCCGCCUCCUCGGCCGCCAAACCCAGGCGAGGCGCGGCCCACAGCCCCUCGAGCGUGCCGCACGCCUCCAAACACAGGCUGCUGUUCAGCUCUAGAGCCACUGGGGUCAGCGCGCGCCCGGACACUGUCAGCGCGAAGUCCACGCCUAGGCCAGGCGAGGAUGCUGCUCAGCGCGGACGGCCCCAGUCUGGGCCCCAGCAGCUCAGCCCUCCCGCCUGCUGCACGCCCGCGCUCACCGAGGAAGUCCGUGCAAGCCCGGCGCCCACCGCGCUGCUCGGCGCUCAGGCCAGCCUCCAAGGCCAGCACCGCGGCCAGCACGGCCUCAGCUGCCUCCUUGACGCGCUGCCUCACAGCUGCUACCUGUGCUGCUUCACUCAGGCCACACUGGGCCAGCGCCACCUCCAGAGUCCUCGGCAGGGAGUUCUGGUGCCGCGGAGGCCGAUCCUCACGACCUACUCCGCACACCACCUAGACAGGUUGCUGUGACUCAAGGGGCUAGACUGCGAGGAGUGUCCCAAGGGACUUCCUCUUUGAAGUCCCCCUGCCUCAGGCACACCUCCCAAGAACCAGUGGGUAUUCAGGAAACUCCAUUCUCCAACAUGACACUCCAGGCCUCGGACCCUACCCUACCCUACCGAGGGUCAGCUAGAGUCCCUGCUCCCUGCUUGCUCUAUCUGCUGCAGUCACCCUGCUGUGUUCUAGCAUGUCCCCCAGAAGCUUCUCCUCCACUGGGGCACUAGCUUAGUUGAAUGCUUCUCUCUAGCUUGACCCAGAGACUGAGCUCUGUAGCUUGGAGGUACCCCCUCCCCCCAGGGCUUCAGGCCUUGGAGAUUUAUCAGAAUCCCAGGUCAGCCUCUUCUGUGAGUAGGAGCUCUCUGAGAAAACAGCCCCCCUCCUCCUGGGCCCCAACAUGGGGCUCUACACAGGGGCAGGCAAGGGCUUCUGGUGCAGGAGGACUCAAGAUGGAGUGUCACACUCAGGGCAUUGGUAACCAGAAUUUCCAAAAAAAUGUUUUCCUGUCUACCCAGAGACUGGGCAGGGCCCUCAUCAGAUCAGUGGGACUGGGCUUGCGUAUGAGGGAUAGGGUUACCCGUAUCUGUGCCCCCACCUCCACCCCACUCACCUUGCUCAGUAGGGGCCUAUCACCCUGAGUUCGACACACCACAGUACAGAUGCGCACAGCCAUUUCUCGGCUGGGUGAGGGACCUCCUGGGUGAAGAGGUAGAGGUCUAAAUCCAGCAGAAAGUCCAAGAAGCCAUGCCAUGCUCCCACCUCUAACUGGUACAGGUGCCUCUCACCUGGGAAGGGCAGCUGGGCAGGUGGACACAUAGCCUCCACCAGGACACUCUCCUCUUCCUCCAGCUUCUCCAGCAGUGCCAGCACUGUGUCCACCACAGCAUCCAGCUCCACCCGUGGGUGCAGACACAAAGCCUGCCGCCCCCGCCAGCGCCAGCCACUGGGCUUCACAGCCACCUACAGCAGGAAGGGGAAAAGGGCCUCCUCGACACCACCCCAUGUACCUGCUAGGUGGGAUAUUUAUGCCACUGAGGCCGAGACUAAACAGGUAAGAGGACAGGGUGUUGCCCCAUCUCUGGGGCAGUGGCAGAGCUAAACGUUAGGGACAGCUUCCCAUUAGGACUUGGGAACCACUCAUGGGUCCCCUCCUGCUGGCACCUACACAGACCUCAGGGUGGGCAGGAGCCUAUUACCUGCACGGCAUCACCUAGAGCCUCGGACUGCAGAAAGGCCCCUACUUCCUCUGUCACCAGUGUUUCCUGGCCCUCUUUGCCACUCAGCUCCACCAGCCGUAGUCCUGGGCUGGCGUCCCCUCCCUGCAGCAGCCCUGGAGGCUUGUAGGUGAAAGCCAGGGUAGCUGGCACGGCCACACAGCCCUGCUGGGACAGCAACUGCCUCAUCAGCAGCCGGUCCUCCAGCAGCCGGGCCAGCUCCACUGAGGCUCCUGUGGGGCAAGUCAGAUUGCGGGCCAGCUCUGCUGCCUCCCGGCCCCUGCCAGCACCCAGCCCCAGGCCUGCCAGGAAGUAGGUGGCACGUCGUGGGGGGACAAAGUCAUCCAGGAAUGUCAGGCCCCCUGGGUAGAAGCUCACAGCCUUGGAGACCAGCAGGGCCGCCUCACCCAGCUGCCCUGAUGCUGGCACCUUCAUCAGCCAGGCUGGGGACAGGCAGAGGAGCAUGUUUCCUGUAGGCAGAGGGGGGCAGGUGGCUGGCCAGGGAAGGCUUAUGUCCCCAGCGCCCAACACCUCCAGCCUGGCCUUUAUGCUGCAGAGGAGACAGUUCUUCCCAGAACCCACCCCUGUUGAGAGUGGGGCAGCUGGUCCCGUGGAAUGCAGGCAGUUGCCAAGGCUGGUGGGUAUUUUGGGAUGUGGCUGGGCCAAAGGGCGGGGCUGCCCUUUCCUUAGCAGGGUGGAGAAUUUGGGCACACACUCACCCGGGCUCUGGACCCCACCCUCCAGCAACACAGACAGAAAGGUGCUGGGGGAUCCCAGAAUGCACAAGGUCACCUCGGCACCAGGGCAACCUCGGGGGAAGAGACAUUGCCAAGCUCACCAGGGGCUCCCCUUGCUACCUCUCUGCCCACCACCUCCAACCCCCACUCUCAUCCUUGGGCCCCCAGGUCCUUCUCAGUGAUCAGACUAGAAGAGUACAGGGGGCAAGAGGAGCUGUCUGCCUCCUAGGCCCCAUGAGGCUGCUCCCUUUCUCUGCAGCUGGUUGGGCUGGGUGAUGGAGACCUGGCUCUAGCCUGGGCUCUGAAUUCUCUGUGACCUUGGAAGGGCCACCAUUUCUGUGAGCUGUUUCCCAGACUGUACCAUGGGAGCGAGUCUCUGCUUCUUAUGUAUUCUAGAUGUGAACCUACUGUGUACACAAAAUCAUUUGUGGCUACACAAUAAAACAUAAAGUAGGAGAGGAA